UACGUAGGGUGCGAGCGUUAAUCGGAAUUACUGGGCGUAAAGCGUGCGCAGGCGGUUUUGUAAGUCAGAUGUGAAAUCCCCGGGCUCAACCUGGGAACUGCGUUUGAAACUACAAGGCUAGAGUGUAGCAGAGGGGGGUGGAAUUCCACGUGUAGCAGUGAAAUGCGUAGAUAUGCGGAGGAACACCGAUGGCGAAGGCAAUCCCCUGGGCCUGCACUGACGCUCAUGCACGAAAGCGUGGGGAGCAAACAGG
RNAcentral lists this ribosomal RNA (253 nucleotides) under uncultured bacterium. RNAcentral's name for it is "partial 16S ribosomal RNA". It matches the Rfam family "Bacterial small subunit ribosomal RNA", at positions 524 to 776 of the family's 1533-position model. The record is from RNAcentral.